Cyprinus carpio carpio is the source of this 645-nucleotide long non-coding RNA. The record is from Ensembl. Lineage: Eukaryota; Metazoa; Chordata; Actinopteri; Cypriniformes; Cyprinidae.
AGCAGUCACUUUCACCAAACUUAACUUCACCCGAGUUCUCUUUCAGGCUGGUAAAGACCCACAUCGCUGAUUCAACGACUGAAAAAUUGACCUCGCUGUUGACGUCAUGGGCGGCUGCGCUCCAACUACUUCUCCAGCCUUUGACAACAUUCCCUGAACACUUGGAAAAGCAGUUCAGCAGUUUUAGCUGGGAUGUGAUGAUCAUCUCUUUGAAGAAGUGCCAGGCUCCAGCCGUACAUGUUUCCUGAUAGCGCUGCUUUCCAUCACCGGAGGAGAGCGAGAGAGAGAGAGGCUGAGCGAGCAGAUGGAGGGAAGCAAUCCCACAACCCCUGGAAAGAAAAAAAAGAGUGUCCCGCUUUCUUCAACACUGAUAAAUAAGCAUGUGAUUGUAAUAUUAGUUUGUUUCCAUAGCAACUCACUCCAGUCACAGGAUUGAGCAGAUGUUUGACUUCAUUGAUUGAAGAAGAGCACAUCAUGUAUGCCGGCCAUUAAGAAACGUCCAUGCGGUAUUCGGGACUUGAUUAUUACUCUCUCAGAUUCAUAAGUGAUUAGAAAAGUGAUUCAGGUGGAUCUCAGACUCAGCAGCAGGCUGUGUCUUCUGAUUACGACACACUCAGGAAAAUAACCCUCAGUAAGAAUUAGCGC